Molecule: ribosomal RNA, 253 nt
Filed under: uncultured bacterium
Lineage: Bacteria
Description: partial 16S ribosomal RNA
Rfam family: Bacterial small subunit ribosomal RNA
Source: RNAcentral
UACAGAGGUGGCAAGCGUUGUUCGGAAUUACUGGGCGUAAAGGGCGCGUAGGCGGCCGCCUAAGUCGGACGUGAAAUCCCCAAGCUUAACUUGGGAACUGCGUCCGAUACUGGGUGACUUGAGUUCGGGAGAGGGAAGUGGAAUUUCAGGUGUAGCGGUGAAAUGCGUAGAUAUCUGAAGGAACAUCAGUGGCGAAAGCGACUUCCUGGACCAAUACUGACGCUCAUGUGCGAAAGCGUGGGGAGCAAACAGG